Molecule: ribosomal RNA, 380 nt
Filed under: uncultured bacterium
Lineage: Bacteria
Description: bacterial SSU rRNA
Rfam family: Bacterial small subunit ribosomal RNA
Source: RNAcentral
GACGAACGCUGGCGGCGUGCUUAACACAUGCAAGUCGAGCGGUAAGGCCCUUUCGGGGGUACACGAGCGGCGAACGGGUGAGUAACACGUGGGUGACCUGCCCUUAGCUCUGGGAUAAGCCUGGGAAACUGGGUCUAAUACCGGAUAUGACUCCAUGACGCAUGUUGUGGGGUGGAAAGCCUUGUGCGGCUAGGGAUGGGCCCGCGGCCUAUCAGCUUGUUGGUGGGGUGAUGGCCUACCAAGGCGACGACGGGUAGCCGGCCUGAGAGGGCGACCGGCCACACUGGGACUGAGACACGGCCCAGACUCCUACGGGAGGCAGCAGUGGGGAAUCUUGCGCAAUGGGCGAAAGCCUGACGCAGCGACGCCGCGUGGGGAGU